Molecule: non-coding RNA, 2680 nt
Organism: Anas platyrhynchos (mallard)
Lineage: Eukaryota; Metazoa; Chordata; Aves; Anseriformes; Anatidae
Source: RefSeq, a predicted model, not a curated record
UGCAAUAUCUGUUAUUACAGAUGACUAUAUAUACAUAUAUAAGUGUAUAUAUACAUGUAUUUCCCUAAGGUCCACUUUACAGUGGAUCUUGACGUCAAUGAGUCUUGACAACAGCUCAAAAAUGAAUCUGCUGGGAUGUUUUUGAUCUGGAACUAUACUGAAAUCACUGCAGUGUACGGAUUUAUGGGUUGACCUACAAAUGGCUUUACUUGUAGAAUUUUACCCUAUGUUUUAAAACCAAAACUCUUCUAGCCAUUUCAGAAUUUACUGAGGCUUCUGCAUAAAUAUUUAAUUAGGUAAACAUCUGAAAUGCAGAUAUUUAAGGAAGCUAAUAUUUUAUUUUACAUCAUUCACUCAGGUAUAAUAUGGGCCAACAAUGGGACACAAUGGCCAUUAACUUCAUACUUUUUCUACAAACCUCAUCUAAAGGACGCAGUGAGGGAAGGAUAAUUCACAGCGGGGAUACCUUUGAUUUCCUCAGAUGCCACUUCAUAUCAGAAAAUUUUAAACAUCAGUUUGCAGGAACCAUCUGUCAUGUCCCCACCCCCACAGCACUGGGGAAGACAGAUACUGAAGCCCACCUGUCAGUCCUGUUAUCCUCGUCUAGAAAAGAAUUUACACACUUCAGAGAUAACACAAAUUACAGUUACAGAGAAAUCCUAAGAGAAUUUCUAAGGUGGAUCCAAUAGAGCUCUUCAGCAAUUGCCCUGAAAACUUGCUGCAUUUUGUAAAAGAUGACGCCUUCCCUGUGGAACCAAAAGCUCUUAAAAUUCUAUACUAGGUCUGCUCUUCUGAGUUGUAUCAGGUACCUUACUAUUUGUAUGGGAAAAAUUUUAUUCUGUAAGAGACACAAAUAGAAUUUAUGAAAAAUAAUUUUUCACUGCUCUAUCUGCCAGGCAGACAUGCCAAAAGCUGCUGAAUGUAGGUGUACACCAAAUAAUUUACAACUGAGGUUGUCCAGACAAAGACUUGAUAAAGAUUUUUGCAGAUUUUAAAGAUUUUAAAGCCUGAUAAAGGUUUUGCAAUGGGACAAAGAGAUACUAUUUUCUUGUGAUAAAUAAUUGUGCAACUGGUGCCUAUUAGGUGUCUUAAAUAUCAGAAACAAGUCCAUGUUUGCACUGUGUUUCAUAGUUUAGCUAGUAUGAGAUCUUACCCUUAGCCAUACACAGAAGGGCAGUAUUCAGUGAUUUUUCCCUCUCAUGUCUUUUUCUCAUUUCUCAAUAGCAUUAUUAUGCAAGGUAUAUGUGUACUAUAUCCUUUAUAGGAGUUUACAUUUGUAUAGACUUGAUGGUCAUCUACUGGUUUAUCUAGAUAAUACGAACACCCUGAAAUUCAGUUACAAUUUAAAAGGAAAACGUCAGUAUCCUGGUUCUAAACCAGAUGAUCUAGGUCUUCUAGAAGCUAGAUUUAGACCUGCAUCUCUCCUUGCAAAGCAACUUGAAAAAAACAAACAUUUUUUUUCACCUCUUUGUAGGACAUUUUUAACUAGCAGCUCAUUUACCCCCAAUGUCCUAACACUGUCCUAUAGACAUUAAUUUCUGAGCACAGGGCAUUGUCAAAUCAGGGGAUCAUAAAUCCACUGCAUUCCCCUCAUCAGUCUUGGCAGUAGCAUCUUCACAGUACUCCUGCGUGUCAGUAAAGUAUGACCUUCUCUCACUGAUUCGUGUGGAUUAGGCUUAAUUGAUCUAUGUUUUUCCAAUGGGCAUUUUAACUUUCACACAGUAAUUUUUUCAAUAACUGAUGUCCGACCAACUGGUCCCCAGUUUCCAGAUGAAAGAAUUACAUUUGAUGCUUUAUCAACUGAAAAAAAUGAACUUACUUAUUUUUAAUGCUUUUAUAAUCUUUUUUAUUUUUAGCAUCUUUUAAAUCGAUUAAAAAUUAAAUAUGUUUACCGUUUUUUAAAAAUUCUAUUCACAAUCUUUUGUAUAAAAAUGGAGACUGACUCUGAUACCAUUGUUGAAUUAUUGACUCCAUUCUGACGCCAAUCUGUGCUCCAGAAAUGCAGUAGUUUGAUGUGAAAACUGAUUACACUAUUUGGCAGCUUGAAAUGGGAAAUUUGUCAGGCCUGGUCUUUAAUACAGUUCUCACUGUGUUUAAUUAACCUGCUAAUUACUGUGUAGUGCAACAGGCUAAGUUUUAUUUUGUGCUGAAUAUUGUUUGUAUGUACAGCAGAUCAACUGUUAGUUGCGAAGCUAUCUCUGUAUUGUUUGAUAUUUCUGCCACUUCUUAAACAGAUUAUAAAGUGCUGUUGAAUUACGUGGGGAUAGAGGGAGGGUUGUAUUUCUUAAUUUUUGGCUCAGCAUUUUGGUUCAUACUAUUUCUAGAAAUUCUUAAUUCUUAAAUCUUGCAGUAGUUAUUACUGUGUAUUUGAGAAAUAUCACUGUCUAUUACUUAUUUAGUUUCUUGCUGGUAGAAAUUCCAAAUAGUUCAUUUCUAUGCCUUAAAUAAUUGUGUGUGUGUGUUUUUCCUGUAUAGUUAUGACUUCCCUCACAUACUGUUCUAUAUGAGAUUUUUUUUUUUUUCAUUCUGCAUUCAAUUAAUAUGGCCUAAUUUGUUAUCUGUUUUCCCCCUUAUUGUGCUUUCUGAAGACAUAUAUCAUAACUUGAAAGCCAGUUAUAUUGUCAUUAAAGUAGAAUGAACAUGUUUGGAUAUAAUAAUAAAUAGCUCAAAUAUUCACACA